This 2888-nucleotide ribosomal RNA is filed under the name Neisseria gonorrhoeae. RNAcentral's name for it is "bacterial LSU rRNA". It matches the Rfam family "Bacterial large subunit ribosomal RNA". The record is from RNAcentral. Lineage: Bacteria; Pseudomonadati; Pseudomonadota; Betaproteobacteria; Neisseriales; Neisseriaceae.
UCAAGUGAAUAAGUGCAUCAGGCGGAUGCCUUGGCGAUGAUAGGCGACGAAGGACGUGUAAGCCUGCGAAAAGCGCGGGGGAGCUGGCAAUAAAGCUAUGAUUCCGCGAUGUCCGAAUGGGGAAACCCACUGCAUUCUGUGCAGUAUCCUAAGUUGAAUACAUAGGCUUAGAGAAGCGAACCCGGAGAACUGAACCAUCUAAGUACCCGGAGGAAAAGAAAUCAACCGAGAUUCCGCAAGUAGUGGCGAGCGAACGCGGAGGAGCCUGUACGUAAUAACUGUCGAGAUAGAAGAACAAGCUGGGAAGCUUGACCAUAGCGGGUGACAGUCCCGUAUUCGAAAUCUCAACAGCGGUACUAAGCGUACGAAAAGUAGGGCGGGACACGUGAAAUCCUGUCUGAAUAUGGGGGGACCAUCCUCCAAGGCUAAAUACUCAUCAUCGACCGAUAGUGAACCAGUACCGUGAGGGAAAGGCGAAAAGAACCCCGGGAGGGGAGUGAAACAGAACCUGAAACCUGAUGCAUACAAACAGUGGGAGCGCCCUAGUGGUGUGACUGCGUACCUUUUGUAUAAUGGGUCAACGACUUACAUUCAGUAGCGAGCUUAACCGGAUAGGGGAGGCGUAGGGAAACCGAGUCUUAAUAGGGCGAUGAGUUGCUGGGUGUAGACCCGAAACCGAGUGAUCUAUCCAUGGCCAGGUUGAAGGUGCCGUAACAGGUACUGGAGGACCGAACCCACGCAUGUUGCAAAAUGCGGGGAUGAGCUGUGGGUAGGGGUGAAAGGCUAAACAAACUCGGAGAUAGCUGGUUCUCCCCGAAAACUAUUUAGGUAGUGCCUCGAGCAAGACACUGAUGGGGGUAAAGCACUGUUAUGGCUAGGGGGUUAUUGCAACUUACCAACCCAUGGCAAACUCAGAAUACCAUCAAGUGGUUCCUCGGGAGACAGACAGCGGGUGCUAACGUCCGUUGUCAAGAGGGAAACAACCCAGACCGCCGGCUAAGGUCCCAAAUGAUAGAUUAAGUGGUAAACGAAGUGGGAAGGCACAGACAGCCAGGAUGUUGGCUUAGAAGCAGCCAUCAUUUAAAGAAAGCGUAAUAGCUCACUGGUCGAGUCGUCCUGCGCGGAAGAUGUAACGGGGCUCAAAUCUAUAACCGAAGCUGCGGAUGCCGGUUUACCGGCAUGGUAGGGGAGCGUUCUGUAGGCUGAUGAAGGUGCAUUGUAAAGUGUGCUGGAGGUAUCAGAAGUGCGAAUGUUGACAUGAGUAGCGAUAAAGCGGGUGAAAAGCCCGCUCGCCGAAAGCCCAAGGUUUCCUACGCAACGUUCAUCGGCGUAGGGUAAGUCGGCCCCUAAGGCGAGGCAGAAAUGCGUAGUCGAUGGGAAACAGGUUAAUAUUCCUGUACUUGAUUCAAAUGCGAUGUGGGGACGGAGAAGGUUAGGUUGGCAAGCUGUUGGAAUAGCUUGUUUAAGCCGGUAGGUGGAAGACUUAGGCAAAUCCGGGUUUUCUUAACACCGAGAAGUGAUGACGAGUGUCUACGGACACGAAGCAACCGAUACCACGCUUCCAGGAAAAGCCACUAAGCUUCAGUUUGAAUCGAACCGUACCGCAAACCGACACAGGUGGGCAGGAUGAGAAUUCUAAGGCGCUUGAGAGAACUCGGGAGAAGGAACUCGGCAAAUUGAUACCGUAACUUCGGGAGAAGGUAUGCCCUCUAAGGUUAAGGACUUGCUCCGUAAGCCCCGGAGGGUCGCAGAGAAUAGGUGGCUGCGACUGUUUAUUAAAAACACAGCACUCUGCCAACACGAAAGUGGACGUAUAGGGUGUGACGCCUGCCCGGUGCCGGAAGGUUAAUUGAAGAUGUGCAAGCAUCGGAUCGAAGCCCCGGUAAACGGCGGCCGUAACUAUAACGGUCCUAAGGUAGCGAAAUUCCUUGUCGGGUAAGUUCCGACCCGCACGAAUGGCGUAACGAUGGCCACACUGUCUCCUCCCGAGACUCAGCGAAGUUGAAGUGGUUGUGAAGAUGCAAUCUACCCGCUGCUAGACGGAAAGACCCCGUGAACCUUUACUGUAGCUUUGCAUUGGACUUUGAAGUCACUUGUGUAGGAUAGGUGGGAGGCUUGGAAGCAGAGACGCCAGUCUCUGUGGAGUCGUCCUUGAAAUACCACCCUGGUGUCUUUGAGGUUCUAACCCAGACCCGUCAUCCGGGUCGGGGACCGUGCAUGGUAGGCAGUUUGACUGGGGCGGUCUCCUCCCAAAGCGUAACGGAGGAGUUCGAAGGUUACCUAGGUCCGGUCGGAAAUCGGACUGAUAGUGCAAUGGCAAAAGGUAGCUUAACUGCGAGACCGACAAGUCGGGCAGGUGCGAAAGCAGGACAUAGUGAUCCGGUGGUUCUGUAUGGAAGGGCCAUCGCUCAACGGAUAAAAGGUACUCCGGGGAUAACAGGCUGAUUCCGCCCAAGAGUUCAUAUCGACGGCGGAGUUUGGCACCUCGAUGUCGGCUCAUCACAUCCUGGGGCUGUAGUCGGUCCCAAGGGUAUGGCUGUUCGCCAUUUAAAGUGGUACGUGAGCUGGGUUUAAAACGUCGUGAGACAGUUUGGUCUCUAUCUGCAGUGGGCGUUGGAAGUUUGACGGGGGCUGCUCCUAGUACGAGAGGACCGGAGUGGACGAACCUCUGGUGUACCGGUUGUAACGCCAGUUGCAUAGCCGGGUAGCUAAGUUCGGAAGAGAUAAGCGCUGAAAGCAUCUAAGCGCGAAACUCGCCUGAAGAUGAGACUUCCCUUGCGGUUUAACCGCACUAAAGGGUCGUUCGAGACCAGGACGUUGAUAGGUGGGGUGUGGAAGCGCGGUAACGCGUGAAGCUAACCCAUACUAAUUGCCCGUGAGGCUUGACU